GACGAACGCUGGCGGCGUGCUUAACACAUGCAAGUCGAACGCUGAAGCUCAGCUUUUGUUGGGUGGAUGAGUGGCGAACGGGUGAGUAACACGUGAGUAACCUGCCCCCUUCUUUGGGAUAACGCCCGGAAACGGGUGCCAAUACUGGAUAUUCACUGGUCUUCGCAUGGGGGUUGGUGGAAAGGGUUUUUCUGGUGGGGGAUGGGCUCGCGGCCUAUCAGCUUGUUGGUGGGGUGAUGGCCUACCAAGGCUUUGACGGGUAGCCGGCCUGAGAGGGUGACCGGUCACAUUGGGACUGAGGUACGGCCCAGACUCCUACGGGAGGCAGCAGUGGGGAAUAUUGCACAAUGGGCGCAAGCCUGAUGCAGCGACGCCGCGUGAGGGAUGGAGGCCUUCGGGUUGUGAACCUCUUUCGCUCAUGGUCAAGCCGCAACAAUGGUUGUGGUGAGGGUAGUGGGUAAAGAAGCGCCGGCUAACUACGUG
RNAcentral lists this ribosomal RNA (483 nucleotides) under uncultured bacterium. RNAcentral describes it as "partial 16S ribosomal RNA". It matches the Rfam family "Bacterial small subunit ribosomal RNA", at positions 28 to 507 of the family's 1533-position model. The record is from RNAcentral.